AUACGGAGGGGGCUAGCGUUGUUGGGAAUUACUGGGCGUAAAGCGCGCGUAGGCGGUUUUUCCAGUCAGGCGUGAAAGCCCUGGGCUCAACCCAGGAACUGCGUUUGAUACUGAUUGACUAGAGGCCGGGAGAGGGUAGUGGAAUUCCCAGUGUAGAGGUGAAAUUCGUAGAUAUUGGGAAGAACACCAGUGGCGAAGGCGGUUACCUGGACGGGUACUGACGCUGAGGCGCGAAAGCGUGGGGAGCAAACAGGAUUAGAAACCCCAGUAGUCC
Molecule: ribosomal RNA, 274 nt
Filed under: uncultured bacterium
Lineage: Bacteria
Description: partial 16S ribosomal RNA
Rfam family: Bacterial small subunit ribosomal RNA
Source: RNAcentral